This 253-nucleotide ribosomal RNA is filed under the name uncultured bacterium. Its description in RNAcentral is "partial 16S ribosomal RNA". It matches the Rfam family "Bacterial small subunit ribosomal RNA", at positions 524 to 776 of the family's 1533-position model. The record is from RNAcentral.
UACGUAGGGGGCAAGCGUUGUCCGGAUUUACUGGGCGUAAAGAGCGUGUAGGCGGCCACGCAGGUCCGUUGUGAAAACUGGAGGCUCAACUUCCAGCCGUCGACGGAAACCGUGUGGCUAGAGUCCGGAAGAGGAGAGUGGAAUUCCUGGUGUAGCGGUGAAAUGCGCAGAUAUCAGGAAGAACACCAAUGGCGAAGGCAGCUCUCUAGUACGGUACUGACGCUGAGACGCGAAAGCGUGGGGAGCGAACAGG